GGGCUGGACUGGGAGGUGGGCGGGCUGGCAGGCGGCGGCGGUCACUGGCCAGGCGUGGGCGCGCGCGGGGCUGCCGCGGGCACUGAGAGUCGGCUGAGUAGCCUGAGCCCGGAGCACCUCGGCUGCCGCCUCGCGCCCUGCGUCCUUCCAUCCGCCCUCGCCCAGCCAUGCCCGCGGUGGACAAGCUCCUGCUGGAGGAGGCGUUGCAGGACAGCCCCCAGACUCGCUCUUUACUGAGUGUGUUUGAAGAAGAUGCCGGCACCCUCACCGACUACACCAACCAGCUGCUGCAGGCCAUGCAGCGCGUCUUUGGAGCCCAGAAUGAAAUGUGCUUGGCCACCCAACAGCUUUCCAAGCAGCUGCUGGCGUAUGAAAAGCAGAAUUUCGCUCUUGGCAAAGGUGAUGAAGAAGUAAUUUCUACGCUCCAUUAUUUUUCUGAAGUAGUGGAUAAGCUUAAUGUCCUCCAUACAGAGCUGGCCAAACAGCUGGCAGACGCCAUGGUCCUACCUAUUGUACAAUUUCGAGAAAAGGAUCUCACAGAAGUAAGCACUUUAAAGGAACUUUUCGGACUCGCCAGCAGUGAGCAUGAUCUCUCAAUGGCAAAAUACAGCAGGCUCCCUAAAAAAAAGGAGAAUGAAAAGGUAAAGACUGAAGUUGUGAAGGAGGUGGCAGCUGCACGGCGGAAGCAGCACCUGGCGUCCCUCCAGUACUACUCCGCCCUCAAUGCGCUGCAGUACCGGAAGCGGAUGGCCAUGAUGGAGCCCAUGAUAGGCUUCGCCCAUGGACAGAUUAACUUUUUUAAGAAGGGAGCAGAGAUGUUUUCCAGAAGCAUGGACAGCUUUCUAUCCUCUGUUGCAGACAUGGUUCAGAGCAUUGAGGUGGAACUGGAAGCUGAAGCAGAAAAGACGCGGAUAUCUCAGCAAGAAUUGCUUUCUGUCGAUGAAUCUGUCUACACGCCAGACUUCGAUGUGGCUGCACCCCAGGUCAACAGGAACCUCAUCCAGAAGGCCGGUUACCUUAACCUUAGAAACAAGACGGGGCUGGUCACCACCACCUGGGAGAGACUUUACUUCUUCACCCAAGGCGGGAAUCUCAUGUGUCAGCCCAGGGGAGCUGUGGCUGGAGGUCUGAUCCAGGACCUGGACAACUGCUCGGUGAUGGCGGUGGAUUGCGAAGACCGACGAUACUGCUUCCAGAUCACCACUCCCAGCGGAAAACCGGGAAUCAUCCUCCAGGCAGAGAGCAGAAAAGAAAAUGAAGAGUGGAUAUGUGCAAUAAACAACAUCUCCAGACAGAUCUACCUGACCGACAACCCAGAGGCAGUCGCCAUCAAGUUGAAUCAGAAGGCUCUCCAGGCUGUGACUCCAUUUACAAGUUUUGGGAAAAAACAAGAAAGCUCCUGCCUCAGCCAGAACUUGAAAAAUUCAGAAACAGAAAAUGACAAGAUUGUUCCCAAAGCAACAGUCAGUAUUCCUGAAGCAGAAGAACUGAUCGCACCUGGGACGCCUAUUCAGUUUGAUAUUGUACUUCCUGCCACAGAAUUCCUCGAUCAGAACAGAGGGAGCAGGCGGAUCAACCCUUUUGGUGAAACUGAAGAUGAGUCAUUUCCGGAAGCAGAAGAUUCUCUUUUGCAACAGAUGUUUAUAGUUCGUUUUUUGGGGUCAAUGGCAGUUAAAACAGACAGCACUACUGAAGUGAUCUAUGAAGCAAUGAGACAAGUGUUAGCAGCUCGGGCUAUUCAUAACAUCUUCCGUAUGACAGAGUCUCAUCUGAUGGUCACCAGUCAAACUCUGAGGUUGAUAGAUCCUCAGACUCAGGUGUCAAGGGCCAACUUUGAACUUACCAGUGUCACACAGUUUGCUGCUCAUCAAGAAAAUAAAAGACUGGUUGGCUUUGUCACCCGAAUUCCAGAGUCCACAGGAGAAGAGUCUCUCAGCACGUACAUUUUUGAAAGCAACUCAGAAGGCGAAAAGAUAUGUUAUGCUAUUAAUUUGGGAAAAGAAAUUAUUGAGGUUCAAAAGGAUCCAGAAGCACUGGCUCAAUUAAUGCUGUCUAUACCACUAACCAAUGAUGGAAAAUAUGUACUGUUAAAUGAUCAAUCAGAUGACAAUGAUGGAAAUCCAAGUGAAAAUAGAAGCGCAGAAUCUGAAGCGUGACUCACUGGGGCCUGUGGGGGAAGCACGCACAGGAAGGAAAGCUACCUCCUUAAGGGUUUUCAACUUCUCUGAUGUAUAGGCACACUGACCUGGCUUCAGAAUGCUGACAAUCGUUUGUGGAAUGUGCCCCUUGAUGCCUUGAUACUGAGACUUGGGAGGGAAACAGUUAAGAAAAGGGUGACAGCCUUCCUACCCAUCUACAAAUGUUAUUUUAGGUGCCUUGUGGUUCUGAAUAUACUCACUAGAGGAGGAACAAUGAUAUAGAAAUUUCGGAGAUGUAUAUUCUUUGGCCUUCGAAAUUCUGGAGCAAAAACAUCUACAAGCAUUUUGAAAUAUUCUGUGCCUUCAGCAGAAUUUCGUGUAUGAUCACUGAGGACCGAGUCCAAAUGCCUAAAAACCAAACAAACAAAAAUGUGUUUCCUCUUUUAAACAAGGUGUGGCCUUUAAAAAACAGUGUGUGCUUUUAGAUAAAAGCACUCAUAAGCAGGAAACAUUAUACAGUUUCUAUAUAAGUUUCCUUGGAGUUCACAAUGAAAUAAUUUUCUUAUGGGCAGAAACUGAUUAGAAUCAUCUAGUUAACUUAAUUAUUAAAACAGAAUAGAGCAUCCGGGGACUUAAAAUGAUAAGGUUUUGUAUUUCUUUUCCCCACAAUGAGCCCUGUACAACAUCUCAUUGUAAGUAAAGUCUUCAUUUUAAGUCUCUUCACUAAUCCUUCCUCUACAUCUCCUUACCUCAACUUAAACCUGGCCUUCUUUCAAGAAGCUUUUCUUUCAAUCUUCAGAAAUAUUAGCUGCUUUUCCUCCUGAAAUCCUCACGUAUACUACUUUUACAUGUUAUUCCUCCACCAGAGGAAGGCAGAAAUCUCUCCUUUAAUCCAACUACAUGAUCCAACUACAGAUGCUCCUCAACCUACAAUUGGUUUGCAUCCUGAUAAAUCCACAGUAAAUUGAAAAUAAAGUAAAAAAAAAAAAAAUGUGUGUAUACACGUAGCCAACUGAACAUGAUAGCCUAGCAAUGCAGUAUACUGGAGUAUAUCAGUUGUUUCGCUUUCUGUGAGGCUGACAGGGAGCUACAACUCACUGUUCUGCUCUGUAUCACACAAGAGGUUCAUAAUACAAAUUGCUAGCCCAAAAAGAGAUCCAAAUACAAGACAUACAGGAGCUAGGGAUGCAGUUUAGUGGUAAAGUACUUGCCUCGCAAGCACCAGGUACUAGCAAGCGCCAGGCCCUAAGCUUGAUCUCAGCACCACAAAAAUAUAAAUCAAAAUAAUCAAAGUAUAAUUUCUACUGAAUGCUUUAUCAUUGUCACACCAUCCUAAAAUUGAAAAAAGAGUAAAGUUGAAAGUAAAAUAAAAUGGUAAAUUGAGCCAUUAUAAAUCAGUGGUCAUCUGUAUAUUCAUCUACUCUUUUGGAAAGCAAGCAUCUACCAAUUUUUAGCCACUACCCUAACUUAGAAUCUAGGACUAGGAUGCCUUCCCCAGUUCUCUACUGUUUAUGUGGAUAAUUUACUCAUUACCAUGACCCCACAACUCUUGGAUUUCAUCUGCCAUGACAUUUCUUCACUUACUAUUAACCAUCCUCUCCCUUGCACAAAUGUGGAUCUUUCAGUUAUCAAUCAGCUUUACCCUAGAUAUCUUAAAAACCAAUAUCCUACUGUAACUUCCUUUGGCUUCUUCAAAGUAUUUUUUAAGCAGUCCCCAAUUUUGAAGAAAAUGAUGACAUUUAACAGGAGAUAAAGGGUCCAAUUUUCUUUCUUUGGUAUGCAAGCCACAACCAUUUUAAUCAUUUUCAUGACUUCAAAUGACUUUAAUACCUGUCUUCUGUAAUCUAGUAAAGCACUAUGCUAUCCAGUAGGAUACUGCAGAACAAAGUUUCUGUGUUCGGGUCAUGUUUUCAUUAAAAUGUACACAUAUAUUUUCUGGUAUAUUUUAAUAUUUUUAUUUUUAAAAAUAUCAAGCAUAUAAAAAAAUUAAAAUAUAGUAUAAUGAACCCUGAAUGCCCUUAAUUAGAUUCACACUUCUUCACAAUUUGCUAGUUUUCUCUAUUUUUCAGAAACAUUUCAAAAUUGCAGACCUCAUGUCACUUAGCACAUAAAUACUUCAGCAUUACUUUAUUAGAACAAAGACAUUUCCCUAAAAAGCCACAUCAGUACACCCAAGAAUAAAAUACAACAUUAUCUAAUACACAACCCAUUUUUCAAAUCUCCCCAAUCAUUCCCCAAAUGUCCUUUAUAGAUAAAUGUUUUCUUUACCUGGAUUAUGAUUAAGGACAACCCCAUUACAUUUGAUUAUCAGGUCUCUUUAUUCUCCUAAUCUAGACAGCCUCUUUGCAUUUUUGGUCUUUCAUGACAUCUGACAUUUUUUAAGAGUCUAGGCCAGGUAUUUCACAGAACGCCCCACAUUCUGGAUUUCUCACAUUGCUUCUUCCUAAUAAAUUCAGAGGAAACACUCCUAGGAAGAAUAUAAACUAGGUGCUUGUCAUUACAUUACAUCAUGAGGCCAUAUAAUAUCAGUCUGUCCCAUUACCAAUGUGCUGUUUUAUCACUUGAUUAACGUGGUAGACAUCUCUUCUACAUUGCAGAUAGCUUUUCCCUGUGUGAUUAAUAAGCAAUUUUGUGGGAUGAUUUUUGAAAAUGAAUUCUCUGGUUUCCAAAAACUUUUCACCCAACAUUUAAGUGUUAUAAUCGCAAAAUGUGAUAUUUUUCCCCUUAAUUUUCUCAUCUGCUUUAUGUUAGCAGCCAUUCUUUUGUUAAAAGAAAAAAACAACUCUGUUUUAACCUUUCUUAUUAUCACUAUAAUUCAUAGAUUUUUUUUAUUCAAUGUUUUAUGACCUAUUUCUAUCAUUACUCUCUUUUUUUUUUUUUUUAAGUUGUAGAUGGACACAAUACCUUUAUUUUGUUUAUUUUUAUGUGGUGCCAGGGAUGGAACCCAGUGCCUUACGCAUGGCGAGGUAAGCGCUCUACCAAUGAGCCGCAACCCCAGCUCCCCAUUACUCUUUUUGACAUUCAAACUGUCUCCACUUUGUUCAGAGUGCCCCUUCAUAUCUGAUUCAAUAAAAUGCUAUAAAUAUUUAAAAUAAUAUCUACAAUUUUCUAAACAAAUUCUUAAUUUUUCUCUCAAGUUUUAUGUUACAAAAUCACUAAUGACUCAAGCCUGUAGAUCUGCACUACCCAAUAAGAUCCCUAUCAGUAGUAAAAUGAAAAGAAAAUCAGUUCCCCAGUCUAAUCUGCCAUAUUUCAAGUGCUCAACAGCAAUGUAUGGUAGUGGCUGCUCUCCUAGAGGACUCUACUAUGCUGCUUUAGAGGACAUGAAAGGAAGGACUGGCAUUCAAGAACACUGCUAAUGAAUAGAAAUAUUUUUAAAGUAAGAAGAAAUAAGUAAAUGAAUUUUACAAAUGAGAUAUCUGACAAUCCUUUUCUUAUAAUAAAUCUUUGAGAUAAGUUGUUUGACCCAAACACAUUUCAGGUGCCUAGAGUCAUAUGUGGCUAGUGAGUUCCAUACUGGACAGCAUGUUCCAAAAGAUCCCUUUUUAGUGAAGUUGGAAAGAUCCUGGAAUGCUAUAAGUCUCUAAAAAACAAUGUUAUUUCAUAAACUGAGACCAUACAUAAUUUGCAUAAUAAAGACCCUGGCAUAUAAAUUACAUAUUACCCUCUAGUCUUCUCAUUAAUGUUUUAUAUAAACACACUAUUUUAAACUUCCAAAUUUAAUUAUUCCAAAAUUAGACUACCUUGCUGCUUUUAAUGUUUCCUCUGAAAGACCUUCUUCUUUCACUAGUUCCUCAAAGUUUACAAUAUCUUCAAGAUCAGGCACAAAUCUAUAUAAGAAUUUGGGAAGGAAUUUAUUAGAGCAACUGACACAGACAUAAAAGUGGUACCAUAGGACUCAAAAUUUUUCAAUUAUGCAUUUAGGAAGAACUCUACAUUUCAUUAACAUUGUUAAUAUCACCACUUAAGUUCCAAAUCAAAUGGACAUGAUCACAUUUUAAUCCUUAAAAUCACAUACUCUUUAGAUCCUCUUGUUUUCCAUACUGACAAAUAAACAUAACUACAACCUUAAGAGAAAUAAAGAUUUCAAAAGUAUAAAGCAAAGAAAUCUAGUAGAAGUAAUGGUUUUCUUUCACAUUAGAAUUAAUGGAUUUUGUCUACAUUUUAUCUCAAAAUAUAUUAACACAAAUAAACACCUUCUCUAUAAUCAAUAAACAGAUUUAAGUAACAAUUUUCAAAUAGCAUAAACAAGGCAAAAAUGAUAUUUGCAUCCAUACCUAAUGGCAUUGCUGCUACAAUGAAGACCACCAGAUCUUAUCAUUCGUACAUAGCCCAUAGCAUUACCUUAAAAACCACAUAAAAAAAUCAGAUAUUUAUAUAAAUAACUCUAAAAUCUAUAAUCAGGAAUAUAAUUACAUACAGUAGUCAAUUACAAGGUUUCCACUCCGAAGUACCAAAAUAAUCUGCUAUAUUUUACUUCUGUUCAGUGUUCCAUUAAAAGCAAAACUGUUAACAUACUUCUGUACUUAAGUUAUAUACAUCUACAUUAAAUAUUUAAAAUAAACCUAACUUUCAACAAACUAAAUUCAUUAAAUGCUAUGUUAAAAUGAUCUAACAGUUUUAAAUUUUAAUAUCAAUAGUUUAUUUGCUUUCACACCAAAAUCCAGUUUCCUCUUUUUCUCCCUCCCUCUUCAACAACGUUUGCAGUUAUCAUCCUAUUCCUAAUUGCCACAUCUUGCCUAGAACACUACAAUAUGCAAUGGUUUCCUGAUUUCCCUACCUUCAUCAUUAGUACCCUGCCGUAUCCUUCAAUCUUUCAUUUAACUAGCAGCUAGUUACUGUUGGAGGCAGGUGCAGUACUGGGGAUUGAACUCAAAAGUGCUUAACCACUGAGCCACAUUCCAAGCCCUUUUUCUUUUUUAUUCUGAGACAGGGCCUCACUAAUUGUUUAGGGCCUUGCUAAGCUGCUAAAGCUGACCAUGAACUUGGAAUCCUCCUGCAUCAACCUUCUGUGUUGCUGGGAUUACAGGUGCGCACCAAUACAUCCAGCUACAGCUAGUUACUUUAUAAAAACUAAGUUGGAGCACAUCAGCCUUUUCUGAAAACUCUACAAUGCUUUCCAUCUCAAUAAAACCCAAACUCUGUAUGUUCAACUUCAGUAUAGCCCUGCAUUUUCCUGCCCCUGGCUGCUGUUCUGCUAUCACACCUUGCCGAUCAGGUCUUCACUAACUCCAUUCCAGCCCCCAGCCAAGUCCUCACAAUGCCAAGCAGACUCGGGAGUUUUGCAAUUGACUGUCAACUGUCAGGUAUACUUUUUCCCUAGAUAUGAACAAGGUUUAUGCCCUCAUUUUAUUAAGUCCCUGUUCAUAUGUCACCUUCAAAAGCUUUCCCUGAAUAUCAUUGCAUAAUGCCCAAUCCCAUUACAUAACCUCACCCAGCACUUAUCAGUGACAUAUUAUCUUUUUGUUUAUAUCUCCCCUCACUACAAUGCAAGAUCCAUGAGUACAGCCUUUGACUUCUUCAUUGCUUCAUCCCUAGAGUCAGCAAGUCCUAGCACAGGGUAGGAAUUCGAUACAAAAUUGAAGUGAAUUGAAAUUAUUUAGGAGAGAACAGAUAAAAAGGUAAGAAGCAGUUAACAUUUUUUAACCAUUAUGGUAACAUAUGUGUUGAUAUUAACAACCCUACAAGGCAGGUAUCACUAAAUCUAUCUUAAGGCCUGUCCCAGUGGGGUUUUUAAGGUUUUUUUUUUUUAAAGCACAUAUUAGAAAAAUCAAUUAUCUAGUUUUACUAUUUUCCUCCAAACUGUCAGACAUAUGUCUGGCUAAUUGAAAUGUGAGAGGUAGAUACAGAGCAAUGGUUAAAAGCAAAGCUCUGAAACCAGACUACUUGGGUUCACAUUCAGACUCUGCCACUCAUUAGCUGGAAGAUCUAGGUCAAAUUAUGGAACUUCUUUUUAUGUCAGUCUCAUCUGUUAAACUCUAGAAGGGCAGAGAUCUUUUCUACUGUCAAAAUUCUGAUAUUAGUAUGUGAAAAAUGAAAUUUAAGCAAUACUGCUCCAAGGACAGCUCUAAAUCUGAGGUCCCCAGACCCACACUUAAAGCACCUGGACUCUUGUACCUUAUAUACAAAAGUAUAAGUACAUACAGGCAUUAGUUCUAGGAGAAAGCAAUCCAGAAUUUUCACCAGAUUCUCAAAAACUAAGAAUUGCUGCUCCAGAAGUGGCCACCUAAUAUGAUAUCAAAUGUCUCCCUGAAGAAAACAAUACUCAACACCUUAUAUUAAAUGGUUUAAGAUAAAAAAUUUACAAAGCUAAUAUUUUUGUACUAUCAUAGAAACAUCUAAUAUCCAAACCAAGCAAUCUAUAAAACUUAAGCUACAAUUCAGUGACGUUACUCUAGCACUAAAUACUUGUAACAUAUUUCCUACUAGUAAAUUUAAAGCCCCUUGGGAGCAAAGAUUGUCUGCAUCCCCAGCACCUGAAAGAACAUUCAUCACAAUUGAUGCUUAGUAAAUGUUUGAUAAAUGAAUAAAUGAAUCUCAGAAGGCAAAAAUUUCCUAAAAUAUAGCUAAGAAGAUUUUAUUAAGUGAUUGGUGUCAUUUAACAUAAAAUGUGAAGAAUUUAAAAACACCUCUGGACUUAUACCUUAAAAACCUUGAUUUAAGCCUCAGCAACACCAUUUUUUUUUUCUCUAAGUCUCUGUCUUUUUCUUUCAUCCCCUCCUUCUCUCUCCUUUUCUAUUUAUUUAUUUUUAGUUCUAGAGAUUUAACCCAGGGAUGCUUAACCACUAAGCUAUAUCCCCAGCCCUUUUUUUUUAUUUUGAGACACA
Marmota monax (woodchuck) is the source of this 8965-nucleotide RNA transcript. It is a transcript of the gene named adaptor protein, phosphotyrosine interacting with PH domain and leucine zipper 2, with no coding region annotated. The record is from RefSeq and is a predicted model, not a curated record. The transcript is spliced from 22 exons. Lineage: Eukaryota; Metazoa; Chordata; Mammalia; Rodentia; Sciuridae.